GAUGAAGAACGUAGUGAAAUGCGAUACUUGGUGUGAAUUGCAGAAUCCCGUGAGCCAUAGAGUUUUUGAACGCAAGUUGCGCCUGAAGCCGUUAGGCCGAGGGCACGCCUGCCUGGGUGUCACACAUCGUUGCCCCAAUGCCAAUCGCCUCACUUUGUAGGUAUUUGCUUGGGGUGAAUGUUGGCCUCCCGUGAGCUUUGUCUCACGGUUGGUUGAAAAUCGAGUGCAUGGUGUCGGGUGUACCAUGAUGGAUGGUGGUUGAGUGAUGAUGCUCGAGACCAAUCAUGGGUAACUCCACCAGAAUUGGGCUCGGUGACCCACAUGCGUCCCUUGGAUGCUCCCUAAGGAGACCUCAGGUCAGGCGGGGCUACCCGCUGAGUUUAAGCAUAUCAAUAAGCGGAGGA
RNAcentral lists this unclassified non-coding RNA (404 nucleotides) under soil metagenome. RNAcentral describes it as "partial contains 5.8S ribosomal RNA, internal transcribed spacer 2, and large subunit ribosomal RNA". The stretch from base 1 to 122 matches the Rfam family "5.8S ribosomal RNA", at positions 35 to 154 of the family's 154-position model. The record is from RNAcentral.